This 462-nucleotide ribosomal RNA is filed under the name Sanguirana igorota. RNAcentral's name for it is "partial 12S ribosomal RNA". It matches the Rfam family "Bacterial small subunit ribosomal RNA", at positions 868 to 1533 of the family's 1533-position model. Lineage: Eukaryota; Metazoa; Chordata; Amphibia; Anura; Ranidae. The record is from RNAcentral.
AGCGCCAGGGAAUUACGAGCAAUGCUUAAAACCCAAAGGAUUUGACGGUAUCCCAUCCACCUAGAGGAGCCUGUUCUAUAAUCGAUACCCCCCGCUACACCCAACCACUCCUAGCCCAUCAGCCUGUAUACCUCCGUCGAAAGCCUACCAUGUGAAUGUUCUUAGUGAGCUUAAUGUCCCCGUCAAAACGUCAGGUCAAGGUGCAGCUCAUGGAGCGGAAAGCAAUGGGCUACAAUUUCUAAUCUAGAACAUACGAAAAACUAGGUGAAACCCUAGUCAUGAAGGCGGAUUUAGCAGUAAAAAGAAAAUAGAGUGUUCUUUUUAACCCGGCCCUGGGAUGUGUACACACCGCCCGUCACCCUCUUCGACUGUAUUUAACAAUGUUCUAUAACUUCCCCCCACAUUUUAGAAGAGGCAAGUCGUAACACGGUAAGUGUACUGGAAAGUGCACUUGGCUAAUAC